UAGAGUAACGGGCAGCCAUGG
This 21-nucleotide unclassified non-coding RNA is filed under the name Mus musculus (house mouse). RNAcentral describes it as "oocyte_clustered_small_RNA8629". The record is from RNAcentral. Lineage: Eukaryota; Metazoa; Chordata; Mammalia; Rodentia; Muridae.